AUGUGAUUGUUUUCCUUUUCCUUUAGUGAAUGUACCAUCCAACAACCGUCCCUCCAAUAUGUAUAGAAUACUUCACGGAUAUGUGAAACUUUCCAAGCAUCAGCACCUAGUUUGUCUGGACGCAACGUCAUGAUAAAUUCAUCAGGCAUGUCAAAGAAUUCAAGAACCUUCAGAUUUAGGAGGCACUCUAUUCCAGUUGGCACGGUCUCAAGCAAAGCACAUCGCUGGAUAACCAGCUUCUCAAGAUGAGGUACUGCACCUUCCCCGAUUGUCACCUGCCUUAGUCCUUCCAACAUGUCAAAAUUUAAAAGCUUAAGCCUUUGAAACUUGCCUUGCUCAAAGUACAGUUCCCUUCCGGUGUAUCCUACAAGAAAUUCAAGAUGGACAAGAUUGGGCAAAUCUUGGAGAUAUUUCAGUGGAUCUUCUGAUAAAUGAGUCCACCUGAAGUAAAUUUUGACUAAGGAAUUAAGAUCUUGAAUCCACGCAGGCAACUUAACAAUGUGUCCUGUCAAAUACAGGCGCUGAAGAAGAGGCGGAGGAGAUGCCAUGUAAGAAAGAUCAAGUAUCUCAUGCUCUUCCACCGAUUUAAGAUUUAAAGACUCCAGCUUGCGGAGCUUUUGAAUUGAUGAGCACA
This 634-nucleotide unclassified non-coding RNA is filed under the name Hevea brasiliensis (rubber tree). The record is from RNAcentral. Lineage: Eukaryota; Viridiplantae; Streptophyta; Magnoliopsida; Malpighiales; Euphorbiaceae.